RNAcentral lists this long non-coding RNA (2647 nucleotides) under Sus scrofa (pig). Its description in RNAcentral is "lncRNA (ENSSSCG00000052554.1)". The record is from RNAcentral. Lineage: Eukaryota; Metazoa; Chordata; Mammalia; Artiodactyla; Suidae.
CCCUUUCCUUCCUUUCUUUUUGGUUUAGAGAAGCCCUUUCAGUAUUUCUUUUAGCCUGGGUUUUGUGUUGCUGUAUUCUUUUAGUUUUUGUUUGUUGGAAAAAAAAAAAUUAUUUCUCCUAUUUUAAAUGAUAUUCUUGCUGGAUAGAGUAUUCUAGGUUACAUAUUUUUUCCUUUUAGGGACUGAGUGAUUUAAACUUUAAGUGUGCUUUCUAUAUUUUUCACUUCAGUUAUUGUAUUAAUCAUCUCUGUUUGUUAUUUAUAUCUUAUAGCUCUUUAUUAAACAUUUAUUUUAAUUUCUCAUUCUGUGCCUCCAUUUUUUUCUGAGAUCUUGGAUCAUCUUUACUAUCCUUACUCUAAAUUCUUUUUUGGGUAAAUUGCCUAACUCCAUCUUACUUAGUUAUUCUUCUGAGGUUUUGUUCUUUCAUCUGGAACAUUUUUCUCUGCCAUCUUGUUCCAUACCUUUCUGUGUCUGUGGUCUCAUUUCUACAGGCUGCCAGACUGUAGCCCCUCUUGCUUCUGGUGUCUUUCCUCCAGUGGGUGAAGCUGAUCUAGGGGCUUGUGCAGGUUUCCUGGUGGGAGAGAUGGUGCCUUCCCACUAGUGGGUGUUGCUGAGUCUUGUCCCUCUGGUGGGAGCCAUGUUGAAGCGUGUGUUUAGAGGAAGCUGAGUGCCUUGGACAAAUUUAGGCAGCCUGUCUGCUGAUGGGUGGGGCUUUAUUCCCAGUGUUUGUUGUGGGGCCUGAGGUUCCCAGCAUUGGAAUCUAUAGCCUAUUGGGUGGGGCCAGUUUUUGUUUCCAAAAUGAGGGAAGCUCAGACCCAUGAUUGUUCCCUGGGGCCUCUACCUCUCAUGUCCUGCCCCCACAGUGAGCCACAGCUGACCCCUACCUCCCCAGGAGAUCCUCCAAGACCCACAGGUAGUGGUCCAGAUUCUUAUGGAGUUCCUCCUUUGCCCUGGGACCCAGUGAACAUGAAAUGUGGUGUGAGCCUUCCAAGAGUGGAGUCUCUGUUUCUGCCAGUCCUGUGAAGUUCCUGCACUCAAACCCCAAUGACCUUCAAAGCCCAAAGUUCUGCAGGCUCCUCAUCCCUAUGCCAGAACCCCAAGUUGUGGAAUGUGACUUGUAGCUCAGAUCUCUUACUCCUGUGGGAGAAACUCUGUGACACAGUUAUUUUCCAGCUUGUGGGUCACCCACCCAGCAGGCGUAGGAUUUGCUUAUAUUGCAAAAGUGCCCAUCCCUACCACGUCUUUGUGGCUUCUUCUUUGUCUUUGGGUAUAGAGUAUCUUUUUUGAUAGUGGUUCAGGUUUUUUUGUCUAUGGUUGUUCAGUAAUUAGUUGUGAUCUUGGCGUUUUUGUGAGAGAAGGUGAGCUCGAGUCCUUCUACUCCAACAUCUUGUCUCCUUCUCCUCUCAGACUUUCUACUUUGACUGGCCAUGGCCUUGACUUUGAACAUUUGUAGCUUUGAGAGCUACUAGUGAAGCAAAGUGAAAGCCUGAAAAGAAUGGAGCUGACCAGAAUACAACUAAUAAAUGGAGAAAGAAAUCUUCUCUGGACAACCCCCUUGAGCCACUGGACAAAACCUCAACAGAAACCAGUCUGUUCCCCACUUGGCUCCUGUCUACACCCUGUUCGGGGAGAAUGGUACCAUGGUAAAGCUGGACAAGUGCAGGAGGUCAGAGUCCCACUCGCCCUCUGCCCUCACUAUCCCAGCUGGGAGGAGCAGGACUGCAUGAUACUGCUCCCACACACUUGAGUUAAAACUCUUAAGGGAGAUGGUACCUCUGGCAAGUCGGGGAAGUCCCGGUUUCUUUCAUGGCCUUUUCUAACACCAACACAAUGGAGAUGAAGAUGUACACACUAAUACCCCUGUGUGUAAGUGGAAAUCCAGGCUCACCUUUGGUUUGGACACCAGGUGGGAUGCAUGUCCCAUUUCCCCAUUUGGUCUUUUUUGACACCACCUAGGCUGAAAAGAGAAAGCUGCUUCCUUACAGUUUGGUAAGGGCUGGUCUAGGCUCCCACUUGGCCUUCUCUGACAGUGUUGGGAGAGGGUUUGCAGAUUUUUCUGUGGUGUGCCACCGAAGUAGGGAAGUUAUUUCCUAAUUAUAUUCUCUCUGCUUGGCUGACUCUUGUCUGGCUGUUGGCUGAAGAGAGUAGGCAUUCCCUGGUACUUUUUGCCCUUACCCAUUCUCACUUCUGGUUGCUCUCUCUUCCAGGAUUCUAGUCUGUGAUAUUCAAGCAAAAGAGAACCCAGAGAAUGGCAGUUCCUUACAUUGGAGGCUCCUGGUGGGUCUGGCUUUUCUCCUUUCAGAGUCUUAAUAUUGAUUCACACAUGUCCAGGGUUUGUAGCUAUAUUAGCAGAAGGACUAGAGAAAAAUGCCUCUGUAUAUUGGGUUGAAAGCCUCCAUGUAUUGUUGAUUUUACUUCUAUGUUUCCAAGGGCUAUCUUUAUUGUCCAGAAUGUGGUGUGUCUUCAUGAUUUUUCCAAGGGUACUAAAGCAAAAUGUGCAUUCUUCAGCUGUUACUUGGGGUAUUCAUUCAUAUGAAUUAAGCCAAUUUUACUUACAGUUUUAUUAGAUCUGUAUUCCUACAAAAUGUUGUCUAAUGAUAUGACUCAAAGAUUCUCUGAAUCAAAAAGAGGGCUUCUAACAACCUAA